RNAcentral lists this transfer RNA (67 nucleotides) under Rhyacophila nubila. Its description in RNAcentral is "tRNA-Leu". The record is from RNAcentral. Lineage: Eukaryota; Metazoa; Arthropoda; Insecta; Trichoptera; Rhyacophilidae.
UCUGAUAUGGCAGAUUAAAUGCAAUAGAUUUAAGACCUAUUAAUAAAAAUUUUAUUUUUUUUCAGAA